GAGUAACCUAAAAUAGUGCCUUAAUAAUAGAUUAUUAAACACCUGUCUAGUGUAGCUUAGGGAGGUUUUUCUAGACUGGGAGUUUGCAGUGGAUCCCUUUGAUAUUCAAAUCAACAAAUGAUAGCCUUUUUAUUCAAAACGUAAAUUCUUUUGAUGGUUAGCUUGUUAAGAAAUAUUCAGCUCUAGUCUGACCUGAUCUGGUUUCCCAUGGAAAAGAUCUGAUGCCGUUUGAAGGUUCAUAAGUGGAAUGCCAAUGACAAUUUGUUGUUGACGUUCCGCCGCCUCAGCCCUCAGAUGCUGCUGGUUGAUGUGCCGCUUUAACUUCACCAAAUAAUCCUUGCAGAAUACUCAGGACCAGUUCCCUCAACAAAUGAUCAGAAGAAGUAAUAUGGGUUGUAGAAGUCCUUUACCUUCCUGGGAAGAUUUCACUGGUACCUUACACAAGGAAGCUUUGUCAUAUAAUAUGAUGGUUUUAUGAGUGGUUUUGCUACCUCAUUCAUCAGAGUAAUCAAUGGGGAAAGGAGCCAUAUGCGUUGUAGUCCAUUUAUAUUGAAAAGGACAGAUGGUAUUAUUGAGAGAGGACAGCAUGCAAAUUGGUAACAUACAAUAAAGAAUUGGACACUAUAGAAACACAGAAGACAAGAAGGCAUCACAACUGGGGCCUACGCAAUGACAGAUAUUCUCUUUCCUUCUCCUGCCUGGUUGGAACCAGGUGAUAUUUCAGUGUUAAUUAGUGUUAUGAUUUGGAUGUGAGGUGUCCCCAAAACCUUAUGUGUAAGACAAUGCAAGAAGGCUUAGAGGUGAAAUGAUUGGGUUAUGAGAGCUCUACUCAGUGAAUUAAUCCCCUGAUAAGGAUUCACUGAAUGGUAACUGAGGGUUGGAGAGGAUGUGACUGGAAGAAGUGAAUCAUUGGGGGCAUGUUGUUGGGAUAUACUUUUGUAUCUGUUAAGUGGAGUGUCUCUUUCUCUCUCCCUCCCUCCCCACCCCUUUCUCUCCCACCACCUUCCUGGCACAAAGUUUUGAGCCCCUUCUGUCUACCACACUUGUCCGCCAUGAUGUCCAGCCUCCCCUCAGGCUCUGAGGGAUGGAGCCAGCUGUCUAUAGACUGAGACCUUUGGGCCUCCAAAUAAACUUUUCCUCCUCUAAAA
Non-coding RNA from Ictidomys tridecemlineatus (thirteen-lined ground squirrel), 1148 nucleotides. Lineage: Eukaryota; Metazoa; Chordata; Mammalia; Rodentia; Sciuridae. The record is from RefSeq and is a predicted model, not a curated record.